RNAcentral lists this transfer RNA (81 nucleotides) under Kofleriaceae bacterium. RNAcentral describes it as "tRNA-Leu". It matches the Rfam family "tRNA". From Rfam's summary of the family: Transfer RNA (tRNA) molecules are approximately 80 nucleotides in length. Their secondary structure includes four short double-helical elements and three loops (D, anti-codon, and T loops). Lineage: Bacteria; Pseudomonadati; Myxococcota; Haliangiales; Kofleriaceae. The record is from RNAcentral.
GCGAACGUGGCGGAAUGGUAGACGCGCUGGUCUCAGAAGCCAGUGGGUAACUCUGUGGGGGUUCGAGUCCCCCCGUUCGCA